Molecule: ribosomal RNA, 446 nt
Filed under: uncultured bacterium
Lineage: Bacteria
Description: partial 16S ribosomal RNA
Rfam family: Bacterial small subunit ribosomal RNA
Source: RNAcentral
UAGGGAAUCUUCCACAAUGGACGCAAGUCUGAUGGAGCAACGCCGCGUGAGUGAAGAAGGUUUUCGGACCGUAAAGCUCUGUUGUUGGUGAAGAAGGAUAGAGGUAGUAACUGGCCUUUAUUUGACGGUAAUCAACCAGAAAGUCACGGCUAACUACGUGCCAGCAGCCGCGGUAAUACGUAGGUGGCAAGCGUUGUCCGGAUUUAUUGGGCGUAAAGCGAGCGCAGGCGGAAGAAUAAGUCUGAUGUGAAAGCCCUCGGCUUAACCGAGGAAUUGCAUCGGAAACUGUUUUCUUGAGUGCAGAAGAGGAGAGUAGAACUCCAUGUGUAGCGGUGGAAUGCGUAGAUAUAUGGAAGAAUACCAGUGGCGAAGGCGGCUCUCUGGUCUGCAACUGACGCUGAGGCUCGAAAGCAUGGGUAGCGAACAGGAUUAGAUACCCUUGGUAG